RNAcentral lists this transfer RNA (72 nucleotides) under Candidatus Aenigmatarchaeota archaeon. Its description in RNAcentral is "tRNA-Val". It matches the Rfam family "tRNA". From Rfam's summary of the family: Transfer RNA (tRNA) molecules are approximately 80 nucleotides in length. Their secondary structure includes four short double-helical elements and three loops (D, anti-codon, and T loops). Lineage: Archaea; Nanobdellati; Candidatus Aenigmatarchaeota. The record is from RNAcentral.
GGGCCUGUAGUCUAGUGGUAUGAUGUCGCCUUCACUCGGCGAAGGUCGCAGGUUCAAUUCCUGCCGGGCCCA